This 253-nucleotide ribosomal RNA is filed under the name uncultured bacterium. Its description in RNAcentral is "partial 16S ribosomal RNA". It matches the Rfam family "Bacterial small subunit ribosomal RNA", at positions 524 to 776 of the family's 1533-position model. The record is from RNAcentral.
UACGUAGGGGGCUAGCGUUGUCCGGAAUCAUUGGGCGUAAAGAGCGUGUAGGCGGCCCGGUAAGUCCGCUGUAAAAGUCAAAGGCUCAACCUUUGAAUGUCAGUGGAUACUGCCGGGCUAGAGUCCGGAAGAGGCGAGUGGAACUCCUGGUGUAGCGGUGGAAUGCGCAGAUAUCGGGAGGAACACCUAUGGCGAAGGCAGCUCGCUGGGACGUUACUGACGCUGAGACGCGAAAGCGUGGGGAGCAAACAGG